RNAcentral lists this transfer RNA (71 nucleotides) under Ovis aries (sheep). It matches the Rfam family "tRNA". From Rfam's summary of the family: Transfer RNA (tRNA) molecules are approximately 80 nucleotides in length. Their secondary structure includes four short double-helical elements and three loops (D, anti-codon, and T loops). Further hydrogen bonds mediate the characteristic L-shaped molecular structure. tRNAs have two regions of fundamental functional importance: the anti-codon, which is responsible for specific mRNA codon recognition, and the 3' end, to which the tRNAs corresponding amino acid is attached (by aminoacyl-tRNA synthetases). tRNAs cope with the degeneracy of the genetic code in two manners: having more than one tRNA (with a specific anti-codon) for a particular amino acid; and 'wobble' base-pairing, i.e. permitting non-standard base-pairing at the 3rd anti-codon position. Lineage: Eukaryota; Metazoa; Chordata; Mammalia; Artiodactyla; Bovidae. The record is from Rfam by way of RNAcentral.
UCCCUGGUGGUCCAGUGGUUAGGACUCUGUUUUCACUACUGAGGGCCCAGGUUCAAUCCCUGGUCAGGAAG